CGUCAGGUACCAUGCGAGCAGGCGCCGCCUAACCCCGCCAGGUUCGGAAGGAAGCAACGGUAAGCGGAGGUCUGCUGCGCCGUGGCUCCCCUGGCGCGG
Molecule: signal recognition particle RNA, 99 nt
Filed under: Treponema sp.
Lineage: Bacteria; Pseudomonadati; Spirochaetota; Spirochaetia; Treponematales; Treponemataceae
Description: signal recognition particle sRNA small type
Rfam family: Bacterial small signal recognition particle RNA
About the family: The signal recognition particle (SRP) is a universally conserved ribonucleoprotein involved in the co-translational targeting of proteins to membranes. Archaeal SRP consists of a 7S RNA and homologues of the eukaryotic SRP19 and SRP54 proteins.
Source: RNAcentral